This 1219-nucleotide long non-coding RNA is filed under the name Oryctolagus cuniculus (rabbit). RNAcentral describes it as "lncRNA (ENSOCUG00000034976.1)". Lineage: Eukaryota; Metazoa; Chordata; Mammalia; Lagomorpha; Leporidae. The record is from RNAcentral.
GGCAGUGGAACAAGGGACCUGUGGAACAAGAGGCUCUCCAACAGCGGGCUGCAGCUUGGAGGGAGCUGGGAGCCUCGUGCCCACCAGAUCUGGGUUUGAAUCCUGAUUCCACCUCAGAGAGGCAGUGAACCUGGAGCUGGUGUUAUCAUCAGAAAAUGGGGACAGUGCAGGGGGACUUCAGGAAGUUCCUGGGAAAUGGACUCAAAUGACAAACCAUUCCCCGUGAAUUCUUCCAAGUCCCGCCUCUGGCAAUCCUGAUGUCACCCAGCUUUACAAGAAAGAAAAUGAGCCAUGCAGUCCCCGAAGCCUGUAUCAUCCCAACCCCUCCUGUACUAGGUGCUCACAUCAGGCAGCGAUGUCCUCACACACAGCCCCAACCCAGCCUCCCGCCCUUCGACGUGGCAAGUGGAGCUUUAUCAGAACCCAGCCGCCUGCCUUCGCUUUCACGCCGUCAUAGUGCUCUUCGCAUUUGCAUCACGUCAGGAACUUCUGCAGGCGGCGUACAGGGCUUUGUUCUCCCAAGAAGUCCGGCUCCCGGCUGCUGCCAGUGAGAAUUUGGGUUGGCGGUGCCAGCGCCAGCUGGGAGCCUGAUGGAAGUGCAGACCUUCUGAAUCAGGAUCUUCAUAUGAUGGGGUCGCCAGGUGACUCACGUGCACCUUCAAGUGUGGGGAACACGGGGGCGUGAGAUUGCAAUGGCACCCAGAAAUGGCCACCGACCCAAUUUGAUUCCCUAGAUAAUUUGUAAAGUUGAUGUCCCAUAUAUAUUGUGAACCCAGCUACACUCCGAGUCCAUAAAAGAGCAUUAGUCCCCACAAAUCUCUUCCUGUUUCUUUUCAGAGCAUCUGCCCCAUUUCUGCUUUUAGCAACAAGGGAACUUAGAAUAGGUGGACUUCCGGUGGAGAGGGGAUGGGCGAGGUGGACUUCCGGUGGAGAGGGGGUAGGCGGGAGAGGUGGGCUUCCAGUGAAGAGGGGAUGGGCGAGGUGGACUUCUGGUGCAGAGAGGAUGGGUGAGGUGGACUUCCGGUGGAGAGGGGAUGGGUGAGGUGGACUUCCGGUGGAGAGGGGAUGGGUGAGGUGGACUUCCAGUGGAGAGGGGGUAGGCGGGAGAGGUGGGCUUCCAGUGAAGAGGGGAUGGGCGAGGUGGACUUCUGGUGCAGAGGGGAUGGGUAGAGGUGGACUUCCGGUGGAGAGAGGGGUGGGUGAGGUGGACUUCUGGUGG